GGGGGGGGGGGGGGGGGGGGGGGGGGGGGGGGGGGCGGGCGGGGGGGCCGUGGGGGGGGGGGGGGCUCGGGUGGCGGACGGGGGGGUAGCGCGGGAGGAACCUGCCCUCGACUGUGGGAUGACUUCAGGAAACUGGGGCUAAUACCGGAUAGGAGCUCCGGCUGCAUGUGGGGGGGUGGAAAGUUUCGGCGGGUGGGGAUGGACUCGCGGCUUAUCAGCUUGUUGGUGGGGUAGUGGCUUACCAAGGCUUUGACGGGUAGCCGGCCUGAGAGGGUGACCGGCCACAUUGGGACUGAGAUACGGCCCAGACUCCUACGGGAGGCAGCAGUGGGGAAUAUUGCACAAUGGGCGGAAGCCUGAUGCAGCAACGCCGCGUGCGGGAUGACGGCCUUCGGGUUGUAAACCGCUUUCGCCUGUGACGAAGCGUGAGUGACGGUAAUGGGUAAAGAAGCACCGGCUAACUACGUG
This 468-nucleotide ribosomal RNA is filed under the name uncultured bacterium. Its description in RNAcentral is "partial 16S ribosomal RNA". The stretch from base 58 to 468 matches the Rfam family "Bacterial small subunit ribosomal RNA", at positions 39 to 507 of the family's 1533-position model. The record is from RNAcentral.